This is a long non-coding RNA of Jaculus jaculus (lesser Egyptian jerboa), 239 nucleotides long. RefSeq lists it as uncharacterized. Lineage: Eukaryota; Metazoa; Chordata; Mammalia; Rodentia; Dipodidae. The transcript has 2 exons. The record is from RefSeq and is a predicted model, not a curated record.
AGCGGAUGCUGAAAGCGUGACUGCGUCUCGGCUUCGCGGUCCCGCCCCUCUGUGGCCAGGAAAGCUGGCCAGGGCGCUCCGAUCUAGGGAGGCUGCCGGCUUCGUCAUCCUCUUGCUUCAGAGAGGUACGUCCUGAAGCGAAGCCCUUCCUCCCAGAACCACGUCUCGCAGCGCCUGUGGAUUGAUCCCUGCUUGUACCUCUCUUCUCUUUCCUCUCAUUAAAAGCAAUUGUUCACUGG